GGAGCGGCAGACGGGUGAGUAACGCGUGGGAAUCUACCGUACCCUACGGAAUAGCUCCGGGAAACUGGAAUUAAUACCGUAUACGCCCUACGGGGGAAAGAUUUAUCGGGGUAUGAUGAGCCCGCGUUGGAUUAGCUAGUUGGUGGGGUAAAGGCCUACCAAGGCGACGAUCCAUAGCUGGUCUGAGAGGAUGAUCAGCCACAUUGGGACUGAGACACGGCCCAAACUCCUACGGGAGGCAGCAGUGGGGAAUAUUGGACAAUGGGCGCAAGCCUGAUCCAGCCAUGCCGCGUGAGUGAUGAAGGUCUUAGGAUUGUAAAGCUCUUUCACCGAUGAAGAUAAUGACGGUAGUCGGAGAAGAAGCCCCGGCUAACUUCGUGCCAGCAGCCGCGGUAAUACGAAGGGGGCUAGCGUUGUUCGGAAUUACUGGGCGUAAAGCGCACGUAGGCGGAUAUUUAAGUCAGGGGUGAAAUCCCAGAGCUCAACUCUGGAACUGCCUUUGAUACUGGGUAUCUUG
This 517-nucleotide ribosomal RNA is filed under the name Rhizobium sp. Its description in RNAcentral is "bacterial SSU rRNA". It matches the Rfam family "Bacterial small subunit ribosomal RNA", at positions 92 to 644 of the family's 1533-position model. The record is from RNAcentral. Lineage: Bacteria; Pseudomonadati; Pseudomonadota; Alphaproteobacteria; Hyphomicrobiales; Rhizobiaceae.